UCCCUGGCACUGAAGAAGAUGUCCCCUCGGAACCACAUUCCUCUGGAUCUCUGCGGAGAUCAAAGACACCACAUAGAAAACGCUCCCGCAAAUCCAGCAUCGAUGGCGGGAGCGGAAAACGUCAGAAGAAGACGGAGCUGGGGUA
Long non-coding RNA from Myripristis murdjan (pinecone soldierfish), 145 nucleotides. RefSeq lists it as uncharacterized. The transcript is spliced from 3 exons. The record is from RefSeq and is a predicted model, not a curated record. NCBI's taxonomy places the organism in Eukaryota, Metazoa, Chordata, Actinopteri, Holocentriformes, Holocentridae.